RNAcentral lists this ribosomal RNA (440 nucleotides) under uncultured bacterium. Its description in RNAcentral is "partial 16S ribosomal RNA". It matches the Rfam family "Bacterial small subunit ribosomal RNA", at positions 338 to 795 of the family's 1533-position model. The record is from RNAcentral.
CCUACGGGAGGCAGCAGUGGGGAAUAUUGCACAAUGGGGGAAACCCUGAUGCAGCGACGCCGCGUGAAGGAAGAAGUAUUUCGGUAUGUAAACUUCUAUCAGCAGGGAAGAAAAUGACGGUACCUGACUAAUAAGCCCCGGCUAAAUACGUGCCAGCACGCGCGGGGAUACGGAGGGGGCAAGCGUUAUCCGGAUUUACUGGGUGUAAAGGGAGCGUAGGCGGCGAUGCAAGUCAGAAGUGAAAGACCGGGGCUCAAAUCCGGGACUGCUUUUGAAACUGUGUUGCUAGAUUGCAGGAGAGGUAAGUUGAAUUCCUAGUGUAGCGGGGAAAUGCGUAGAUAUUAGGAGGAACACCAGUGGCGAAGGCGGCUUACUGGACUGUAAAUGACGCUGAGGCUCGAAAGCGUGGGGAGCAAACAGGAUUAGAUACCCCAGUAGUC